RNAcentral lists this long non-coding RNA (872 nucleotides) under Zonotrichia albicollis (white-throated sparrow). RNAcentral describes it as "lncRNA (ENSZALG00000011387.1)". The record is from RNAcentral. Lineage: Eukaryota; Metazoa; Chordata; Aves; Passeriformes; Passerellidae.
GUCUCUGCCUUAGGGAAUAUGCUUCCUGCUCUUUAACUCCCUGCAAACUGGUAGUUUUUGGGGAUAAACCCUGAAAGUUCAGCUCUCCUUGCCUGUGGUGCCAAUGCUUCCUGCUCACACUGGCCUCACACCAGGUUAAUUCCACUGCUGUGGUGAUUUGCAUGAGUACAAGCACAAAAACCCUCAUGCAAGCUGGAAAGGCUUUACCAUUAUUUCCCCAACACUGAAAUAUGUGUCUGCAGUGUGGUGCUUUUUAGCACAGCAUCCACUCAGAUGGUGGGGAAUUCAUCACAGCCCAGGCCCUCAGUCUGUACCUUCAUUUUCCUCCUGGAUUCCUGCUUGGAUACUGCUUGGUUGCCCACUAAGCCCAUCAUGCCACCAUGAGACCUCAGUGUAGAGCUGGCACAUCUGCCACAUCUGCAGGGGCACUAGAUGUGGACAUCUGCAUUUAGGUACCUGAAUCAAGCCCUGAAAUUCCAGAACAAGGAAAGAAGAUCCAUCUCCCCUAAACUGAACCACCAACAGGUACUUCAGAAAUCAUCCCAGCCUUUGUGCUGGGGUUUAGACAUAGGCCAGGAGCUCUCAAGGACAACCACCAGCCAUGUUCUACACCUGCAAGUCUACCUGGAGGGGACCUGAAUGGCACUGCCAGAUUUCUCAUGGCUCUUCAGAAUGCCUGGGUUUGGGAUGGCCCCCGUUCUGAUGGUGUUUCAGAGCUGUUCUACAGGACUGUGGCUGUUAGUUGUGUAAUUUGGAUUUAUAUACAGUGACUGAUCAUGUGCCAAGAGUUUUAUUAUGGACAACAAAUCCCAUUCAAUCAACAGCAGAGCCCAAACAGCCAUUGUUGAGCCCCAGUGCUUAGAACAGAGUUG